This 148-nucleotide non-coding RNA is filed under the name Nomascus leucogenys (northern white-cheeked gibbon). Lineage: Eukaryota; Metazoa; Chordata; Mammalia; Primates; Hylobatidae. The record is from Rfam by way of RNAcentral.
GCCGGGCGUGGUGGCGGGCGCCUGUAAUCCCAGCUACUCGGGAGGCUGAGGCAGGAGAAUCGCUUGAAUCCGGGAAGCGGAGGUUGCAGUGAGCCAAGAUCGUGCCACUGCACUCCAGCCUGGGCGAAAGAGCGAGACUCUGUCUCAA